CGGGGAGUAGCGCAGCCCGGUAGCGCAUCUGGUUUGGGACCAGAGGGUCGCAGGUUCAAAUCCUGUCUCCCCGACCA
This 77-nucleotide transfer RNA is filed under the name Bdellovibrionales bacterium. RNAcentral's name for it is "tRNA-Pro". It matches the Rfam family "tRNA". Rfam says of the family: Transfer RNA (tRNA) molecules are approximately 80 nucleotides in length. The record is from RNAcentral. Lineage: Bacteria; Pseudomonadati; Bdellovibrionota; Bdellovibrionia; Bdellovibrionales.